This is a long non-coding RNA of Oncorhynchus keta (chum salmon), 307 nucleotides long. RefSeq lists it as uncharacterized. The record is from RefSeq and is a predicted model, not a curated record. Lineage: Eukaryota; Metazoa; Chordata; Actinopteri; Salmoniformes; Salmonidae. The transcript has 3 exons.
UGGUUGUAGUGGGUUCACCAGUUGUUGUUGAUGUAUCAGUGAUGGUUGUAGUGGGUUCACCAGUUGUUGUUGAUGUAUCAGUGAUGGUUGUAGUGGGUUCACUAGUUACUAUCGACACAUCAGUGAUGGUUGGAGUGGGUUCACCAGUUGGUGUUGAUGUAUCAGUGAUGGUUGUAGUGGGUUCACUAGUUACUAUCGACACAUCAAUGAUGGUUGGGAUGGGUUCACCAGUUGGUGUUGAUGUAUCAGUGAUGGUUGUAGUGGGUUCACCAGUUGUUGUUGAUGUAUCAGUGAUGGUUGUAGUGGG